Molecule: long non-coding RNA, 642 nt
Filed under: Pelobates cultripes (western spadefoot toad)
Lineage: Eukaryota; Metazoa; Chordata; Amphibia; Anura; Pelobatidae
Source: RNAcentral
ACUGUGAACAUAUGUAACCUGCUACUGACAUGCUGUCAGCCAUUUUGCUGUUUAUUCAUCAUCUUAAAAUAUAAUCAAAGAAGAAUAUUUACUCUAAGAAAUAAGAAGAAACUAUGUUUUAUUGCUACAAUUCUGGACUGUUCUUUUUGGAUUGCAAAAGGAAAGGUUAUUUUGAAAGCGUGUCUUGUCAGAUGUUGCCAGGGGGGAAAGGUGAAAUGUGUGCUUAAGUUGUGAAAGAGGAAGUCAGGCUUAUAUGUGUUAACUCUUAUCAUAGACAAGCGAUAUUUUAGCGAAGUAAGACGCAUGACUGUGGUCAAGUUAUCUGUUAGAAAGAUCAUGGGAUGCUUAAACUUUUGAACCUUAAAUUUGUCAGUUAUGCUAGAAUUUAGCCAAUAAGAAAUAAGACCAUAUUUGGAGUUCUGAUUCAAGCUAAACGAAAGGCCAGUUCCGGGUCAUAUGUAUAAAAUAUGAGGAAUUGUAACAUGAUGUUAGAUUGCUUCUUGCCAAUCUCCAUGAGAUAUCUCUGUGUAUUGUAAUGGUCAAUUAAACGCUUUUUAUUGAACCUGGUAAUAUUUUUGUCUACUUCCACAGUUGGGGGCUCGUCCGGGAUCAGAAUACCACAGACACCAGCGGAACACCUGC